RNAcentral lists this ribosomal RNA (254 nucleotides) under uncultured bacterium. RNAcentral's name for it is "partial 16S ribosomal RNA". It matches the Rfam family "Bacterial small subunit ribosomal RNA", at positions 524 to 776 of the family's 1533-position model. The record is from RNAcentral.
CACGUAGGGCGCAAGCGUUGUCCGGAAUUACUGGGCGUAAAGGGCUCGUAGGCGGCCAACUAAGUCGGAUGUGAAAUCCCCAGGCUUAACCUGGGAACUGCAUCCGAUACUGGAUGGCUUGAAUCCGGGAGAGGGAUGCAGAAUUCCAGGUGUAGCGGUGAAAUGCGUAGAUAUCUGGAGGAAUACCGGUGGCGAAGGCGGCAUCCUGGACCGGCAUUGACGCUGAGUGAGCGAAAGCCAGGGGAGCAAACGGG